GAUGAACGCUGGCGGCGUGCCUAAUACAUGCAAGUCGAGCGAACAGAUGAGGAGCUUGCUCCUCUGACGUUAGCGGCGGACGGGUGAGUAACACGUGGAUAACCUACCUAUAAGACUGGGAUAACUUCGGGAAACCGGAGCUAAUACCGGAUAAUAUAUUGAACCGCAUGGAUCAAUAGUGAAAGACGGUUUUGCUGUCACUUAUAGAUGGUUCCGCGCCGCAUUAGCUAGUUGGUAAGGUAACGGCUUACCAAGGCAACGAUGCGUAGCCGACCUGAGAGGGUGAUCGGCCACACUGGAACUGAGACACGGUCCAGACUCCUACGGGAGGCAGCAGUAGGGAAUCUUCCGCAAUGGGCGAAAGCCUGACGGAGCAACGCCGCGUGAGUGAUGAAGGUCUUCGGAUCGUAAAACUCUGUUAUUAGGGAAGAACAAAUGUGUAAGUAACUAUGCACGUCUUGACGGUACCUAAUCAGAAAGCCACGGCUAACUACGUG
This 497-nucleotide ribosomal RNA is filed under the name uncultured bacterium. Its description in RNAcentral is "partial 16S ribosomal RNA". It matches the Rfam family "Bacterial small subunit ribosomal RNA", at positions 28 to 507 of the family's 1533-position model. The record is from RNAcentral.